RNAcentral lists this non-coding RNA (91 nucleotides) under Lapidilactobacillus gannanensis. RNAcentral describes it as "THF riboswitch". It matches the Rfam family "THF (Tetrahydrofolate) riboswitch aptamer". Rfam says of the family: THF riboswitch presents a pseudoknot that joins P1-P2 and the loop of P3 and two THF binding. Lineage: Bacteria; Bacillati; Bacillota; Bacilli; Lactobacillales; Lactobacillaceae. The record is from RNAcentral.
CGGAGUAGGUGAAUAAGCGUUAAGUGCUGAUGGAACGGAAUGUGAACAUCGGACGAAGAAUUAAUUCGCGAUUUAUUCACCGCAUUCGCCG